GACGAACGCUGGCGGCGUGCCUAAUACAUGCAAGUCGAACGAAGCUGUUUUAACUGGUGCUUGCACCGACUUAAACAACUGAGUGGCGAACGGGUGAGUAACACGUGGGUAACCUGCCCCAAAGCGGGGGAUAACAUUUGGAAACAGAUGCUGAUACCGCAUAACCACAGAAACCACAUGGUUUCUGUGUCAAAGAUGGUUUCGGCUAUCACUUUGGGAUGGACCCGCGGCGUAUUAGCUAGUUGGUAAGGUAAUGGCUUACCAAGGCAAUGAUACGUGACCGAACUGAGAGGUUGAGCGGCCACAUUGGGACUGAGACACGGCCCAAACUCCUACGGGAGGCAGCAGUAGGGAAUCUUCCACAAUGGACGAAAGUCUGAUGGAGCAACGCCGCGUGAGUGAAGAAGGUUUUCGGAUCGUAAAACUCUGUUGUCAGAGAAGAACGUGUGCGAGAGUAACUGUUCGUGCAGUGACGGUAUCUGGCCAGAAAGCCACGGCUAACUACGUGCCAGCCGCCGCCGUAA
Molecule: ribosomal RNA, 524 nt
Filed under: uncultured bacterium
Lineage: Bacteria
Description: partial 16S ribosomal RNA
Rfam family: Bacterial small subunit ribosomal RNA
Source: RNAcentral